Molecule: long non-coding RNA, 471 nt
Organism: Carassius gibelio (silver crucian carp)
Lineage: Eukaryota; Metazoa; Chordata; Actinopteri; Cypriniformes; Cyprinidae
Exons: 3
Source: RefSeq, a predicted model, not a curated record
CCGGUGGUGUGAUGCUCUCACUCACCCUUGCUCAGCUGAGUCACUCUUACCAUAGCGAAUACCUGCUUUAUAUCUCUCACUGACAGUGAAGAUCAAUAGUGAAGCUUCGCUCGGUGGGUGACGGUUGGGGUCCAGUUCAGGUUCUCACGGGAGGCAGACUUUGUCUGUGUUGUCUUUGUUUAAUGUUUCUUUCCUUGUUGUGUCUUUUCACGUUGCUUUGUCUUUGUGUCUUCCAUGUGUUCCACCUCAUUUCUUCGCUUGGUCACGCUCUCGUUUAACCCUGGUCUUGUUCUCAUUCUAUUAAUUGUGGUCACCUGGAGCCGGUUUACUUCCUCACUUUAUAUUGUUCCGUUUCAUCCUCUUGUGUUGGCUGGUUUGUCUUGUGCUCUAGACAGUUACUGACUUGCUGCUCUGUAUUCCAGUCUUGCCCUGUUGUUUGCUGCAAUGGUGUCUCGUUGUUGUAGAUUUUGC